ACAUCUCGAGUGCAGCAAACCAGGGGACCAAGAUGGAGUGCUGAGUUCCUGCUGAUCUGUCCUCAGUUGCACCAAAUGAGAAAUCAACUUGGCCAUGUUUUGGGACAUUUAUAGCAGAUGUGAGAGCCUGAAAUUCAACCUGAGGCUGGAGGUCAGACAAAGCUUCCUGACUGCAAUAUCUGUGGGGCUGAAGGGCAGGAUGUGCAGGAUGUGAGGAGCAGCUUGCUUUCUUCAUCAGCCCAAUGGCAGAUCUAAGAACAUACCUUCACUUUGCGGAGGAUGGCAUGACCUCAGAGCACUGCCACAGUCACCAGAAGGGCUCAUGGAUGGCGCUGGUUAUGGUGGGAUCUGUCACGCGUGCACUGGAGGGGUGCUGAGUGGUAACGCUGGGACUGCCUUGUCCUGAGGACAUCUACUCUUCUUGCUCACUGUCAGCUCAGGAGGACAUGAAGCCAAGGAGGCAGCAGCUAUGAUGGCAUCACGGAGGGAACCAGAGCCUGAAUAAACACAUACGUCACCCAGCUGAGAGUGGAUGAACUUCAGCUUCCUCCAAACACACCUCUCACAAGAGCUGCUGUGAAUCACAGCAAAACAUCGAGUCUAACUGAAACACUGAAUCACAGAACCAGCUGUCACACAGCCCUGCAGCAUCUCCUGCAGGAGCUCAUCCAGCAUCAGCCCUGCUCUCCAGGUCUCUCUCUUCUGCAGGACAUCCACAUCCUCAAAGCAAGAAACAGAGGAAGGCAUUUCUCAGAUGGAUGGAUUUAAGCAGCGGACAUGGGGCAGUUCUGGUCUGUAAGCCAUGUCGGCCACAGGAGUUCUUGUUAUUUGGAGAUGGUGUUUUAGGUUAUGGGACAAGAUUGCUUCACCUUUGAGCGGGCAGGUAAGGGCAUCUUGGACCUGCAUCUGGCUUCUGUUGGCUUGAUCUGAUGUCCUCUGGGUCUUGGAUGAGAGGAGAGAGUAUGCAGCUCUACUCAGUGCCUCCAUGUCUCUCACAGCUUUGUAGAUCUAUCCUAUCUCUCCAUAUCUACAGCCAUAUCCCCAGGUCUAUAACACCAAGAAGAGCAGAAAACAACUCGGAAAGCCAGUAACCCCUAUGCUUCACUGAGGCAAAUCCAAAUACUCUAAAGCACUUUCACAUUUCAUCUACCUCCAAAGAAGAAAAGCCUUGACUUCUUCUUUCUCUCUGGGAUUAAGGCAUUCCAGAACAAGCACAGGAGACCUGUGUCACCUUAGCCGUGGGGGAGUCUUUAAAUCUGAUCAUAAGCAUCUACCAGGACAGUUCUAGGAAAAAAAGCUAUUUGUCAUUCAAGUUGCCUGAACUUCCAGGCUCCUAUACCCAGGCUCAGGUCUCUUCUGUAAGGGUUCUACACCCUCUUUUUACCCAGUCUUUCCUUCUAAUUCAUUCCAGACAAAGGAAUCCACUAGGCCACCUUGCUGCCCAGCUUUCUUCUACCACCAAACACCAGCAUGCAUCUACUGGCAUAAACGUGAUCACAAAGUCGUGACUGCACAGGGAGAACAAACAUGCUGAGCAGAUGGGUUGUGAGGGAGGAAGCCCUCAUUUAAAAUACAAAUAACUGGCAAUAACUUAGCAGAUGUGGUAAGAGGAAUCUGGACAGACAAGCACGAGGUGACUGGAUUCCAAUUUCAGUUAAGUAAUGUGGAAUUUUCCCUGGCAAAGAAAGGUUUCAUCUUCCAUCUCCUUGAUUACCUUGUCCAGAAGAGAUAAUUACUUUGAUGUUAGGUGUCUUCACAAGAAUGAUAGAGGGUAUUCUUCAUUUAGGAUCUUAUACGACUCCCUGCCCUUACAAGGUAGAUUUUUCACUAGAGAAAUCUAGCCUCUAUAGCCCAGAAGUCCAUGAGAAAAGACUAAAAUUCAAGCAGAAGUCCCCAGCCAAAGACUUUAGUGUCUGUCCUUCUCUUCCCCAACAUCAGAUCAGCAUCCCUCAGGAAAUAUCUUGGAGAUGUUAAAGAAAUCUAUACAUCUAGCAUACUGCAAUAUUAGUUUGGCCCUGGAAUCUCAUCUUGGCAGAUGUACCAACAUUACCACAGAUGAGUAUGAGGAUUUUCUCCUUAUAAUUGUUACAGAGACAUUAAUCAUGCAGGGGAAAUUAACCCUGCCAGGCAGCACUGCAGCAGAGAUCAGGAAAGCACAGUCAUCGCUGGCCAACGGCUCAAGCUGAACGUGGGAGAAAUGUCAGGUGCACAGACACACAACAGAUAGCAAAAAUAUUCUGUGAUCCUCAGUCAGGGGAAACAAAACCUGCCUUAUUCAAGAUUUCCCUUCAUAUGCAAUCAUCAGGCUCUCCAAAGACAACACAUUUGGCAGCUCCUGCACUCUCUCCUUACAUAAGGUGGGGAUUCAGUCAUCUAAAGCUCACUCCUUGUUCCUGUAUGCACUGCACCCCCUGUUCACAAGACACAGAUCUUGCACAGAAGCUUGUUGCCCUGAAGCCCACGAGAAACAAAAAUCAAAGCCAAAACUUGAUGCUUAGAAGAGGAAUAGCUGUAGGUAUAAUGAAACUCCAAGGCUGCUCUUGAGUGAGGACAAGAAGCACAGUCCUCACCCCAGGUGUCACAGGACCUGCCAUCAGGGAGCACAACACGUGUGAGUUUAUUGCAGGUGGAGGUUUCUGUAUGAACACUUCAGGAGAGGAACAUGUUUAUAAACAAAUCACCCCCGCAAUUUUCUCC
This is a long non-coding RNA of Gallus gallus (chicken), 2697 nucleotides long. The record is from Ensembl. NCBI's taxonomy places the organism in Eukaryota, Metazoa, Chordata, Aves, Galliformes, Phasianidae.